RNAcentral lists this ribosomal RNA (511 nucleotides) under uncultured bacterium. RNAcentral's name for it is "bacterial SSU rRNA". It matches the Rfam family "Bacterial small subunit ribosomal RNA", at positions 29 to 517 of the family's 1533-position model. The record is from RNAcentral.
AGCGAACGUUAGCGGCGGGCCUAACACAUGCAAGUCGAACGCGAAAGGUCUUCGGACUGAGUAGAGUGGCGCACGGGUGAGUAACACGUAGGUAAUCUACCCUUUGGCGGGGGAUAACGUUCCGAAAGGAGCGCUAAUACCGCAUAAGACCACGGAGUCUCCGGACGCUGUGGGAAAAGGUGGCCUCUUCUUGAAAGCUACCACCGAAGGAUGAGCCUGCGUCCCAUCAGCUAGUUGGUAAGGUAAUGGCUUACCAAGGCGAAGGCGGGUAGCUGGUUUGAGAGAAUGAUCAGCCACACUGGCACUGGAACACGGGCCAGACUCCUACGGGAGGCAGCAGUGAGGAAUAUUGGGCAAUGGGCGAAAGCCUGACCCAGCCACGCCGCGUGAGUGAUGAAGGCCCUCGGGUCGUAAAGCUCUGUGGAGAGGGACGAAAACCCUGGUUUCAAAUAGGCUCCAGGCUUGACGGUACCUCUUUAGCAAGCACCGGCUAACUCUGUGCCAGCAGCCG